Molecule: long non-coding RNA, 845 nt
Filed under: Homo sapiens (human)
Lineage: Eukaryota; Metazoa; Chordata; Mammalia; Primates; Hominidae
Description: HSALNT0293960
Source: RNAcentral
UCAGAAUGAACCAAUUAAUACAAUCGCUAGGUGCCCUCCUGUAGUACCUCUGUGAGGUUUGAAGGACUUGCCCUGAUGAACCUCCACUUCCCUGUAAUUCCCUAUAAGAUCUGCAGCACAAAGCUGUGAAGGUGCUGGUCAGGGGUGGAAUGCAACUGAUGCUGUCACCAGACUCUAAUCCCAAUAUCUCCCAGAUAUUCCACAGAUACCACAUUCUAACCAGAAUAAUCUGCAUCAUCUAAAGGGUUUAUGAUAUGUGGCUGUGGGACUGGACCAAUAUGAGCCCACAGAAGCCUGCAUACUUGGAACCACUUGGUGGGAUCAAUGUCAUUAGGAGACACAACUAUAAAUGCUGUCAUUCAACCCAGCUUGAAUGAAUAACAAAGAACAUGCUCCAGGAGGAUAAAGAACAGAGCAUCUCCUUGGCUUCCACAUUAAGGACUCAGAAAUUUCUAACACUUUACAAGAGGGAGGAGUGAACAGCAAGUGGUUUGGAAAUCACAAAUUUGUAGGAGCUCAGCAAGUGCUACUUAGGUCUAAGGGACACAGGGCAGGUUUGGAUUAAGAAAUGACACCAGUUUGGGGCCGGGCGCAGUGGCUCACGCCUGUAAUCCCAGCACUUUGGGAGGCCGAGGCAGGCGGAUCAUGAGGUCAGGAGAUCGAGACCAUCCUGGCUAACAUGGUGAAACCCCAUCUCUACUAAAAAUACAAAAACAAAGUUAGCCAGGCAUGGUGGCAGGCACCUGUAUUCCCAGCUACUCUCAAGACUGAGGCAGGAGAAUGGCAUGAACCGGGGAGGCAGAGGUUGCAGUGAGCCGAGAUCGCACCACUGCGCUCCAGCCUGG